Molecule: ribosomal RNA, 374 nt
Filed under: uncultured organism
Description: bacterial SSU rRNA
Rfam family: Bacterial small subunit ribosomal RNA
Source: RNAcentral
CGGAGGGUGCGAGCGUUGUCCGGAAUCAUGGGCGUAAAGGGCGCGUAGGUGGCCCGGUCAGUCUUUGGUGAAAGCGCGGGGCUCAACCCUGCGUCGGCCAGGGAUACUGCCGCGGCUCGAGCACUGUAGAGGCAGGCGGAAUUCCGGGUGUAGCGGUGGAAUGCGUAGAGAUCCGGAAGAACACCGGUGGCGAAGGCGGCCUGCUGGGCAGUUUAGCUGACACUGAGGCGCGACAGCGUGGGGAGCAAACAGGAUUAGAUACCCUGGUAGUCCACGCCGUAAACGAUGGGCACUAGGCGCCUGGGGGAGCGACCCCCCGAGGGCCGGCGCUAACGCAUUAAGUGCCCCGCCUGGGGAGUACGGCCGCAAGGCUG